Long non-coding RNA from Hydractinia symbiolongicarpus, 402 nucleotides. RefSeq lists it as uncharacterized. The record is from RefSeq and is a predicted model, not a curated record. The transcript is spliced from 4 exons. Lineage: Eukaryota; Metazoa; Cnidaria; Hydrozoa; Anthoathecata; Hydractiniidae.
UUUCACUCAUUCUUUUAGACAAUUUCAGAGAGCAGGGAAGUUCUUUGCAACAUAAAAAGUGCAUUCUUAUUUUUAUGCUUUGUUCUGGCUUACGCUAGCAGUUUUGAAGAAGACUUCACUUCUGAUGAUGAAUCAAGUGGAACGUGCCGAGCAGAAUACACAAAAUGUAUGAAAGCUGCAAGCGAUGUCAAACAAAAAGUACAGUGUCUUAAAGGACGUACAAUGUGCUAUUCCACCUGCGUGAAACAGUGUCACGUGGAACGAAGAAAAUGUGCUGAUGCAGCAUCAACCAUACGAGAGCGACUUGCGUGUAGUAGUAAAGGGGUGAAAUGUGCAAUUGGCUGUUGACACUAAUUACAACGUCUAAUUAAAGUUAACUAGAAGAAAAUGCGUCAUUUAUAA